UACGAAGGGGGCUAGCGUUGCUACGGAAUCACUGGGCGUAAAGGGCGCGUAGGCGGCGUUUUUAAGUCGGGGGUGAAAGCCUGUGGCUCAACCACAGAAUGGCCUUCGAUACUGGGACGCUUGAGUAUGGUAGAGGUUGGUGGAACUGCGAGUGUAGAGGUGAAAUUCGUAGAUAUUCGCAAGAACACCAGUGGCGAAGGCGGCUCACUGGCCCGAUACUGACGCUGAGGCACGAAAGCGUGGGGAGCAAACAGG
This 255-nucleotide ribosomal RNA is filed under the name uncultured bacterium. RNAcentral's name for it is "partial 16S ribosomal RNA". It matches the Rfam family "Bacterial small subunit ribosomal RNA", at positions 524 to 776 of the family's 1533-position model. The record is from RNAcentral.